AAGUCGUAACAAGGUUUCCGUAGGUGAACCUGCGGAUGGAUCAUUAACGUCAAUGAAAAAAUAUUAUUAGCGGAUGGCAAUAUGAGAAAUGUCGUUCGUGUAAUAAUAUUUUCAUUAAUGUACACCCUUUGUGGUGAAAACAGGAAUAUUUUAUUGUAGUAGUUAAUUUUUGAUUAAUGACUCCACUGUGGAGUUGUUUGAUAUCAGAGGUGCUAUUAUCAUCUAUAUAAAGACCCAAACAUUUAUUAACAUUUCUAAUGCUAAAGUAACCUUGUGAACUAAACAUUGAAAGCAAUUGAUAUAUUUGUUACCAAGUAAAACAAUUAAUAAAUCUAAUACAACUGCUAGCAACGGAUCACUCGGCUCUC
Molecule: unclassified non-coding RNA, 368 nt
Filed under: Syncephalis sp.
Lineage: Eukaryota; Fungi; Zoopagomycota; Zoopagomycetes; Zoopagales; Piptocephalidaceae
Description: partial internal transcribed spacer region
Rfam family: Eukaryotic small subunit ribosomal RNA (bases 1-46)
Source: RNAcentral